RNAcentral lists this ribosomal RNA (361 nucleotides) under uncultured bacterium. RNAcentral describes it as "bacterial SSU rRNA". It matches the Rfam family "Bacterial small subunit ribosomal RNA", at positions 28 to 384 of the family's 1533-position model. The record is from RNAcentral.
GAUGAACGCUAGCGGCAGGCCUAAUACAUGCAAGACGAACGGUAAGUUGAGUAGCAAUACUUAGCCAAGAGUGUCGUACGGGUGCGUAACACGUAUGCAACCUACCCUAUACAGGAGGAUAGCCUAGGGAAACCUGGAUUAAACCCUUCAUAGUAUUAUUGGAUGGCAUCAUUUGAUAAUUAAAACUGAGGUGGUAUAGGAUGGGCAUGCGUCUGAUUAGUUAGUUGGCGGGGUAAUGGCCCACCAAGACGAUGAUCAGUAGGGGUUCUGAGAGGAAGAUCCCCCACACUGGCACUGAGAUACGGGCCAGACUCCCUACGGGAGGCAGCAGUAGGGAAUAUUGGUCAAUGGAUGCAAGUCU